GAACUGUGAGAAUGUAUGGGAGAAUAUAUUGUAUAAAUAGGGAUAGUAUUAUAACAGAUUUCAAUCAAUCAAGAAUUCCAUGAUACCACAAUUACUCUCCCUCUAAUUCUUUCCUCUCUCUUAUUCUUCUCUCUCUCUCUCGUUCUUUCUCAUCUUCUUUUCCUAUUCUGCUUCUUUCCUAUAAUUUAUUCUGAAAUUUAUUUCUAGUUUUCCCUAAUCUUUUUGUUUCUUUAAGUUUUUUCCAAUUUCCAUAUGGUGGGUUGUCAUUGCCAAGAAGUAUAUUUUAACUAUUUUACAAUCUUUU
Molecule: unclassified non-coding RNA, 304 nt
Filed under: Hevea brasiliensis (rubber tree)
Lineage: Eukaryota; Viridiplantae; Streptophyta; Magnoliopsida; Malpighiales; Euphorbiaceae
Source: RNAcentral